AAAGAAAGCACAUGCGGCCACUGUCUCAUUUUAACAUAUUUCUUAAAACACACCUGAUACUUUUACUGUUAAUAAUAAAAUAAACAAACAUUAAACUAACGGUUUAGUAUGCAAAUAAGCAUAAAUGCUUCGAAAUUGAUGAAGGAAAUAUAUACUGACAUAUAAUGUUUAUAUUAAUCCCGUAAUGACCGCUAUUUUAAUAAAAAAAGAAUGCUCCGCCUUAAAUUCCUAUCCUUACUUUACAAAUAAUUAAAAUGAAUGAAAGUGUAGCAAUAAAGGUCCAACACAAUUGCAACUCCUUCAGGUAAUAUGUAUGAACCUAUCCCUCAGUAUAAUGUUAGUUAAACAUUACAUUCCCUUAAGACUCCUCUUGAAUGAUGGUUUAAACAACUCAUGAGUGAUGGCAUCUGAAAAGUGAACGAGAAGAUUACAGAGAAAUUGGGAUUCCCCAAUCAGUUUUAACAGAUACACUCAUUGCUUAUAAAGUUAUAAUAAGAAGGAAAAUUUUUAAAUAAAUAAACUAGUUGUCAAGCGUUUUUUACUCAUCAUCCGAAUCGACAUCAACUGAAUCAGAAUUUUCAGACGAACUUUUUUCGAUUUCGGUUUCAUCUUCUGACUCAGUGUCUAGAGCACGAGCAUCAAAGCUGUUUUUAGAAAAGCCCAAUUUUUUGGCGAACAAAUUCAACUCAUUUGCAAACUAAAACAGAGGAUAUUAGAACCUUUUGAAAGAAGUAAUUAAGAAACAUCGAUAUUGACUUACAGCAUCAGUCCCAUCCUUCUUGGGUUGUUUACGAUUGGGUUCUUCGAAUUCCAACUCUUCAUCGCUUUCUACAUCUUCAAUCAGCUCCAGAUCCUCUUCGGUACCUCCGAGUUCUUUAAUAUCAUGGAGUAAACCAUACGAUUGCUUUCUUUUCCGAUUCGCUUUAGGCUUUUCCAAUGAUGAUUUGGGUUCCUUAGGACCAACGGAACUUUUAUGUUUAUCAAUAGUUUUGUUUUCCUCUGUUUUGUUUUUUAGUGAUCUAGCAGAAGAAUUUUCCACAACUUUUGAAUUUUUUUUCAUGUCCCUCUCGACGACAUCCUUGAUAUCUGAAAAUAAAGACAAAUCCAUAUUAUGAUUUAUGUCAAAUAAAAUAAAUACAAUCUUUUGUCGAGUUUAUCGAUUAUUAGAGGAUGUGAAAAUCCAAC
Schizosaccharomyces pombe (fission yeast) is the source of this 1185-nucleotide non-coding RNA. Lineage: Eukaryota; Fungi; Ascomycota; Schizosaccharomycetes; Schizosaccharomycetales; Schizosaccharomycetaceae. The record is from the annotation of a GenBank genome assembly.